GACGAACGCUGGCGGCGUGCUUAACACAUGCAAGUCGAACGGAAAGGCCCUGCUUCUCUGGGGGGCUCGAGUUGCUAACGUGUGAAUAACGCGUGAGUAACCUGCCUGUUCCUUUGGGAUCACUUCAAUAAACUGGGGCUACUACGGGUUAGGCGCUCCUGCUGCGCGGUGUGGGUUGGGAAGUUUGGGCGGUUGGGGUUGGAGUCGCGGCUUAUCACCUUGUUGGUGGGCUAGUGGCUUAGCAAGGCUUUGACGGGUAGCCGGCCUGAGAGCGUGACCGGCCACACUGGGACUGAGAUACGGCGCAGACUCCUACGGGAGGCAUGAGUGGGGAAUAGUGCACAGUGGGCGGAAGGCUGAGGCAGCAACGCCGGGUGCGGGAUUGCGGCCUUCGGGUGGUAAAGCGCUUUCGCCUGGGACGGAGCGUUAGUGACGGUAAUGGGAAAAGAAGCACCGGCUAACUACGUG
RNAcentral lists this ribosomal RNA (468 nucleotides) under uncultured bacterium. RNAcentral's name for it is "partial 16S ribosomal RNA". It matches the Rfam family "Bacterial small subunit ribosomal RNA", at positions 28 to 507 of the family's 1533-position model. The record is from RNAcentral.